Molecule: ribosomal RNA, 537 nt
Filed under: Trigonopterus sp. 433 AR-2022a
Lineage: Eukaryota; Metazoa; Arthropoda; Insecta; Coleoptera; Curculionidae
Description: partial large subunit ribosomal RNA
Rfam family: Bacterial large subunit ribosomal RNA
Source: RNAcentral
GGCUUGUUGAUAAUAAUUUCAAGUUUUACCUGCCCACUGAUUUCAUUAAAUGGCCGCGGUAUAUUGACCGUGCAAAGGUAGCAUAAUCAUUAGUUUUUUAAUUGAAAGCUUGUAUGAAAGGUUUGAUGAAAAAAUAUCUGUCUCUAAAGGAGUUAAUUAGAAUUUUAUUUUUAAGUAAAAAAGCUUGAAUGUUUAUAGAAGACGAGAAGACCCUAUAGAGUUUUAUUUAUGAAAAAAUAUGUGAUGUAUAGGUAUUUAUUUUUCAAUAUGUUUUUAUAAGUUUUGCUGGGGUGGUGAAAAAAUUAAUAAAACUUUUUUUUGAUAGAAAAUAUUGGUGUUUAGGUUUAUGAUCCUUAAUAAAGAUUAAAAGAUUAAAUUACCUUAGGGAUAACAGCGUUAUUUUUUUUAGAGUUCAUAUCAAAAAAAAAGAUUGCGACCUCGAUGUUGGAUUAAAAUUUAUUGCUGGUGAAGAAGCUAGUAGAAUAAGUCUGUUCGACUUUUAAAAUUUUACAUGAUCUGAGUUUAAACCGGUGUGAG